AUCCCCAGUAAUGGGCAAAGAACCACCUUGUUGGUGAUGUUGUUCUUAUAUCAGUCAGGGGCAGAGCAGAUGGCAGUCCAUUGUUCAUCCUAGCUUGGUGCCUGGCUUGGUGGCCGAAGCUGUUUUUUUGCCAGGAAAUAUAA
This 143-nucleotide small nucleolar RNA is filed under the name Mus spicilegus (steppe mouse). RNAcentral's name for it is "Small nucleolar RNA SNORA48 (ENSMSIG00000022398.1)". It matches the Rfam family "Small nucleolar RNA SNORA48". Rfam says of the family: The snoRNA ACA 48 has been identified to guide pseudouridylation of the residue U3797 in the 28S rRNA subunit. Its host gene EIF4A1 (eukaryotic translation initiation factor 4A1) is shared with U67 and snoRNA mgU6-77 Lineage: Eukaryota; Metazoa; Chordata; Mammalia; Rodentia; Muridae. The record is from Rfam by way of RNAcentral.